GGUCUAGUUUUUUUGCGCCUAAAAUGUAUCGAGACUUAAGAAAUUUACCGAAGCGGCAAGUUUUAUUUAUAAUAAAACGGUAGCGGAACAUUCUGUAUGUUGAUAAAGAUAUGUUGUAAAAUAUAUUGAAGAUAUCAGAAAAGAAAAUGCUGGCAUUAGUAACAAAAAAUAAUGAAUAAGAAUCAUUAUCACCGUAAAUCCAAGGGUUUCUAUGUUAAAAUGUAUUUCAUAGAGUGAAACGGCCCCUAAGAAAGAUUUGACGAAAGCAAAUUUUGAUGGGAUAAUUUUUAAAUUAAAUUUUUUAAAAAAAGUGACAAAAAGUUUUACUUUUUCAGGAAAUAGCUUUUUUUAAAAAAAACCGUACCCUAAACCGACACAGGUGGAUAGGUCGAGUAGACUAAGGUGGAUGAGAGAAUUAUAUUGAAGGAACUCGGCAAAAUGACUCUGUAACUUCGGGAUAAAGAGUACCUAAAUAUUAUAUUUAGGUGUCACAAAAUAGGGGGUUGCGACUGUUUAAUAAAAACUUAGGACUCUGCUAAAUGGUAACAUGAUGUAUAGGGUCUGACACCUGCCCGGUGCUGGAAGAUUAAUAGGAGAUGUUUGCGCAUUGAAUGGAAGUCCCAGUAAACGGCGGCCGUAACUCUGACGGUCCUAAGGUAGCGAAAUUCCUUGUCGGGUAAGUUCCGACCUGCAUGAAUGGUGUAACGACAUCCCCGCUGUCUCCAAUAUAAACUCAGUGAAUUUGAAUUAUCCGUGAAGAUGCGGAUUCUCUAUAGUUAGACAGAAAGACCCCGUGAACCUUUACUACAUCUUUAUAUUGUUAUUUUAUCUAAUAUGUGUAGCAUAAGUGGGAAUCAAUAAGACCUUCACGCUAGUGAAUUGUUUAGAUAACAUUGAAAUACCACUCUUAUUAAAAUAAAUAACUAAUAUUUUUAUAAAUAGACAGUGUAUGGUUGGUAGUUUGACUGGGGCGGUCACCUCCUAAAGAGUAACGGAGGUGUACAAAGGUAAGCUCAAAUUG
RNAcentral lists this non-coding RNA (1021 nucleotides) under Globisporangium ultimum DAOM BR144. Its description in RNAcentral is "Pythium ultimum DAOM BR144 Bacterial large subunit ribosomal RNA". It matches the Rfam family "Bacterial large subunit ribosomal RNA", at positions 1147 to 2329 of the family's 2925-position model. The record is from Rfam by way of RNAcentral. Lineage: Eukaryota; Oomycota; Peronosporomycetes; Pythiales; Pythiaceae.